AGAGUUAGAUCCUGGCUAAGAUUGAACGCUGGCGGUAGGCUUAACACAUGCAAGUCGAGCGGUAACAGAGAUAGCUUGCUAUCUGCUGACGAGCGGCGGGGGGGGGAGAGUAACGCGUGGGAAUCUACCUUAUAGUGGGGGAUAGCCCGAAGAAAUUCGGAUUAAUAGGAUUAAUACCGCAUACGCCCUACGGGGGAAAGGGGGCUUCGGCUCUCUCUAUUCGAUGUGCCUGCGUAAGAUUAGCUAGUUGGUGAGGUAAAGGCUCACCAAGGCGACGAUCUUUAGCUGGUCUGAGAGGAUGAUCAGCCACACUGGAACUGAGACACGGUCCAGACUCCUACGGGAGGCAGCAGUGGGGAAUAUUGGACAAUGGGCGAAAGCCUGAUCCAGCAAUACCGCGUGUAUGAAGAAGGCCCGAGGGUUGUAAAGUACUUUCAAUUGUGAAGGGGGGGAUAGUUAGUUAAUAGCAUUCUAUCCUGACGUUAACUUUAGAAGAAGCACCGGCUAAUUCAGUGCCAGCAGCCGCGGUAAUACUGAAGGUGCAAGCGUUAAUCGGAAUUACUGGGCGUAAAGCGCGCGUAGGCGGUUGUUUAAGUCAGAUGUGAAAGCCCCGGGCUCAACCUGGGAACUGCAUUCCAAACUGCAAAACUAGAGUAUGGAGAGGAGAGUGGAAUUUCAGGUGUAGCGGUGAAAUGCGUAGAUAUCUGAAGGAACACCAGUGGCGAAGGCGGCUCUCUGGACCAACACUGACGCUGAGGUGCGAAAGCGUGGGUAGCAAACGGGAUUAGAUACCCCGGUAGUCCACGCCGUAAACGAUGUCAACUAACUGUUGGGGCGGGUUUCCGCUUAGUGGUGCAGCUAACGCGUUAAGUUAUCCGCCUGGGGAGUACGGCCGCAAGGUUAAAACUCAAAGGAAUUGACGGGGACCCGCACAAGCGGUGGAGCAUGUGGUUUAAUUCGAUGCAACGCGAAGAACCUUACCUGGUCUUGACAUAUCGCAAACUUUCCAGAGAUGGAUUGGUGCCUUAGGGAAUGCGAAUACAGGUGCUGCAUGGCUGUCGUCAGCUCGUGUCGUGAGAUGUUGGGUUAAGUCCCGUAACGAGCGCAACCCUUAUCCUUAUUUGCCAGCACAUUAUGGUGGGAACUAUAAGGAGACUGCCGGUGAUAAACCGGAGGAAGGCGAGGACGACGUCAAGUCAUCAUGGCCCUUACGACCAGGGCUACACACGUGCUACAAUGGGAAGGACAAAGGGUCGCUAAGCCGCGAGGUGGUGCUAAUCUCAUAAAUCUUUUCGUAGUCCGGAUCGGAGUCUGCAACUCGACUCCGUGAAGUCGGAAUCGCUAGUAAUCGUGGAUCAGAACGCCACGGUGAAUACGUUCCCGGGUCUUGUACACACCGCCCGUCAUACCAUGGGAGUGGGUUGCACCAGAAGUAGCUAGUCUAACUGUUAUAGAGGACGGUUACCA
RNAcentral lists this ribosomal RNA (1467 nucleotides) under uncultured prokaryote. Its description in RNAcentral is "partial 16S ribosomal RNA". It matches the Rfam family "Bacterial small subunit ribosomal RNA". The record is from RNAcentral.